RNAcentral lists this transfer RNA (75 nucleotides) under Bacilli bacterium. RNAcentral's name for it is "tRNA-Trp". It matches the Rfam family "tRNA". Rfam says of the family: Transfer RNA (tRNA) molecules are approximately 80 nucleotides in length. Lineage: Bacteria; Bacillati; Bacillota; Bacilli. The record is from RNAcentral.
AGGAGCAUAGUAUAACGGCUAGUACUGCGGUCUCCAAAACCGUUAAUAUCGGUUCGAAUCCGAUUGCUCCUGCCA